UACCAGCACUCCGAGUGGUCGGGACGUUUUAUUGGGCCUAAAGCAUCCGUAGCCGGUUCUACAAGUCUUCCGUUAAAUCCACCUGCUUAACAGAUGGGCUGCGGAAGAUACUAUGGAGCUAGGAGGCGGGAGAGGCAAGCGGUACUCGAUGGGUAGGGGUAAAAUCCGUUGAUCCAUUGAAGACCACCAGUGGCGAAGGCGGCUUGCCAGAACGCGCUCGACGGUGAGGGAUGAAAGCUGGGGGAGCAAACCGG
This 254-nucleotide ribosomal RNA is filed under the name uncultured bacterium. RNAcentral describes it as "partial 16S ribosomal RNA". It matches the Rfam family "Archaeal small subunit ribosomal RNA", at positions 474 to 727 of the family's 1478-position model. The record is from RNAcentral.